GUCUCUGAGACGGUGAGGGGGCGGGGCCAGGCUGUGAUUGAGUGGCAUUAAAUUGCAUGGGGGAGGGGGGCAGGAAACAACGGACCCCGCCCCCUCGUCUAGUUCUGAGCCUGCAGGCGGCGCUUCCGGGGGAGGGGGCGCAGGUCUCCAAGGUGACGAAAUGUGCAACAUCGGCCUACCAAUAGAGAACACCAAGGAGCAGGAGGAAGAGGAGGAGGAGGAAGCCGUUACUGGGACAGUACAGGGCACACAGUUGCCUGAUGAAGGAUGCAUUCCCCCCAGUGUAGCACCGGUGCCAUCUGGAGGGCAGCCAGCACCAGCUGCCCAGGCUCACCACCAGGCAUGGCUCCUGGACAUGUUGGAUGACGUGCGCUACCUCAUCUCCUGCACCAAUUGGUAUUAGGCUGGUUCCCUUGGACCCACCAACUGCCUUCGUUAAGAUAAACUGUCAGACAAAUCCCUACCCUGUCUCAUCGGCCAAGAAGGACUGCAGGGCUUUUGGUGAGGAAGCCGGGCCUGUCUCUUAAUAACAGCUGGGAAAGAAAUAGCCCCUUUCACCUUUGGCUUUUACACAAUACUGCUGCAUUACUCACAGAUACGGCAUUUUCCACCGUGUGCUAUAAAGCUUUGAGUAACAACAUUGCUUAUCUGGUCCACCUGAUUUUGUGGAAGAUGUUCCUAAACUAGGUAGCUUCUCAAACUUUUAGAAGCGGGAACCAUUUCCAAGUUUCCUUUGCAAGUGGGUCCCGCAAUGUACAGUAACUCGACCCUGCUUUCCCCACGCAGACUUGAAAUGCAGGAAUCUCACAACAGUUAGCACUGAACAAGUUCCAUGGUUAGAAAUAGAGAACAUUACUGAACAACAUACUGCCUUUCAUGGCCAUUUCGCACCUUUGGGGGAGGCUGGGAAUCCAGGUUCCCCAUGAAGCUUUCCUGAUCGUUCUCUUCCAGUUCACUCUACUCUUCUUCCUUCCUCCCCUAAUAUUAGUUCAGCAGAUUUGGAUGCUGUCUCUUAUAUACCCCUUGUCAAGUAGUCUUGAAAAGAACUACUUGAUUGUUUCCCUGUGCGUGGUGUAACCAGAUCUUAAAAUUGUCUGGCAGCCACGUUCUAGCUCUUUAGUGUUAUCCAGGGUGCACCGCAAGGAGGCAAGCUAGAAUUACAAGAUAGCAGGACCCGAAUACAAUUGUGGUGUAGACACCAAACUAUUUUUCAUCUGUCACAGGAAUGCUUUCCAGGGAGAUGUGACAGAGCUCUUUGAACUUUCUCCAGCUGCAGUUGAAUGGAUUGAAGAUUAGUGGGAUUGCUCAACCUGUGUGAAUACACAUUGUAUCAACUUGGUUACUUAUUUUCAUAUCAUAUGAUUUCUGUGUGUAAUUCUGCCGUACAAUAAAUUAAUAAACCUCCCUCAAUCUCA
This is a long non-coding RNA of Heteronotia binoei (common prickly gecko), 1415 nucleotides long. RefSeq lists it as uncharacterized. NCBI's taxonomy places the organism in Eukaryota, Metazoa, Chordata, Lepidosauria, Squamata, Gekkonidae. The transcript has 2 exons. The record is from RefSeq and is a predicted model, not a curated record.